GUUUCCGUAGUGUAGUGGUCAUCACGUUUGCCUAACAUGCAAAAGGUCCACAGUUCGAAACUUGGCGGAAACA
This 73-nucleotide transfer RNA is filed under the name Danionella translucida. It matches the Rfam family "tRNA". Rfam says of the family: Transfer RNA (tRNA) molecules are approximately 80 nucleotides in length. Their secondary structure includes four short double-helical elements and three loops (D, anti-codon, and T loops). RNAcentral also lists the same sequence under 1 other name. The record is from Rfam by way of RNAcentral. Lineage: Eukaryota; Metazoa; Chordata; Actinopteri; Cypriniformes; Danionidae.